GGUUAAAAGCUCGUAGUUGAACCUUGGGCCUGGCUGGCCGGUCCGCCUCACCGCGUGCACUGGUCCGGCCGGGCCUUUCCCUCUGUGGAACCCCAUACCCUUCACUGGGCGUGGCGGGGAAACAGGACAUUUACUUUGAAAAAAUUAGAGUGCUCCAGGCAGGCCUAUGCUCGAAUACAUUAGCAUGGAAUAAUAAAAUAGGACGCGUGGUUCUAUUUUGUUGGUUUAUAGGACCGCCGUAAUGAUUAAUAGGGACAGUCGGGGGCAUCAGUAUUCAACUGUCAGAGGUGAAAUUCUUGGAUCAGUUGAAGACUAACUACUGCGAAAGCAUUUGCCAAGGAUGUUUUCAUUAAUCAGGAACGAAAGUUAGGGGAUCGAAGACGAUCAGAUACCGUCGUAGUCUUAACCAUAAACUAUGCCGACUAGGGAUCGGACGGUGUUAUUCAUGACCCGUUCGGCACCUUACGAGAAAUCAAAGUGCUUGGGCUCCAGGGGGAGUAUGGUCGCAAGGCCGAAACUUAAAGAAAUUGACGGAAGGGCACCACCAGGGGUGGAGCCUGCGGCUUAAUUUGACUCAACACGGGGAAACUCACCAGGUCCAGACACAAUAAGGAUUGACAGAUUGAGAGCUCUUUCUUGAUUUUGUGGGUGGUGGUGCAUGGCCGUUCUUAGUUGGUGGGGUGACUUGUCUGCUUAAUUGCGAUAACGAACGAGACCUUAACCUGCUAAAUAGCCCGCAUUGCUCC
RNAcentral lists this ribosomal RNA (746 nucleotides) under uncultured Acremonium. RNAcentral describes it as "SSU rRNA". It matches the Rfam family "Eukaryotic small subunit ribosomal RNA", at positions 617 to 1371 of the family's 1831-position model. The record is from RNAcentral. Lineage: Eukaryota; Fungi; Ascomycota.